GAUGAACGCUAGCUACAGGCUUAACACAUGCAAGUCGCGGGGCAGCAUGGAUGUCCUUUCGGGGACAUCUGAUGGCGACCGGCGUACGGGUGAGUAACGCGUAUCCAACCUGCCCUUUACAACGGGACAGCCCGUCGAAAGGCGGAUUAAUACCGUAUGUUGUCAUGUUGAUGCAUAUUUUCAUGACCAAAGGCUUCGGCCGGUAAAGGAUGGGGAUGCGUCUGAUUAGCUUGACGGCGGGGUAACGGCCCACCGGGGCGACGAUCAGUAGGGGUUCUGAGAGGAAGGUCCCCCACAUUGGAACUGAGACACGGUCCAA
RNAcentral lists this ribosomal RNA (319 nucleotides) under uncultured bacterium. Its description in RNAcentral is "bacterial SSU rRNA". It matches the Rfam family "Bacterial small subunit ribosomal RNA", at positions 28 to 334 of the family's 1533-position model. The record is from RNAcentral.